This 875-nucleotide long non-coding RNA is filed under the name Linum usitatissimum (flax). RNAcentral describes it as "long non-coding RNA (LUSI_LNC002189)". The record is from RNAcentral. Lineage: Eukaryota; Viridiplantae; Streptophyta; Magnoliopsida; Malpighiales; Linaceae.
AAAAUUCAUACUUAGUUGUCUAUUUACUUUGUAGCAGCACCUUCACAAAGACUCACAACUACUAUAGUACCUCUGGUACCUAUAACGCGUUUUUUUUUCUUGUUAGACUUAGAUCGAUCUCCCAAGCUAUUGCAAACCUUACUUCAACAAUGCUCCACCAAUCAACCAUCGUAAUGGUGACCGCGAUCUCAAUCGCAAUGAUUUGGAUGGGCGGUUCUGCUGCCCAAAUGAUGGCCCCGGGAGCGGCCCCCUACUAUAAUGCGCCAGAGGCGCCUGAAUCAUCGAGUGCACCAGCACCAGGAGGAGUUGACUGCUUUACACAGCUGCUGAAUUUGUCGGACUGCUUGACUUACGUGGAAAGUGGAAGCAAGCUGAGCAAACCGGACAAGCUAUGCUGCCCAGAGCUGGCUGGGUUGGUAGAGAGUAACCCGAUAUGCCUAUGCCAGCUUCUGACAGUGAACGCUUACUCAUAUGGCUUCGACAUCGACAAAAAAAGAGCAUUUGGACUCCCUUCCGUCUGCUCCGUCGCAACUCCUCCUGUUAGCUUGUGCUCAGGUACGUACCUAGCUACCUACCGACCGUCUCUGCUUAAUUAAUUGCUACUUAAACUGUUGGGAGUACUUGUAAUUAUUAACGUAACUACUAAAACUUACACCAAUUAGUACCUAAUUAAUGGUCCCUACAAUUCCCAAAUGAUUGAUGCCAGCUGGGAGAGGGCAUUAUAUUGCGUCCUCAAUUCAUUAUUAUUUGUCUCCAUACUCCAAAGGCACCGCUAGCUUUAGGCUUACAAUUAAUCUAUUGGUAUGUGGAAACGGUGCAUUAAACUCAUUUAAAUGUCAGCUGCUGCUAUUGAAUGAUCAAUCACGGCAAACUUG